AGAAGAAGAAGGAAGUCAUUGUUCCUUACGCAGAGCUUUCAAAAUACUUACUUCAGCUUACAAGAACAUCGCUGGAUUACUGUAAAUGAUGUUCAUCAUGUUGCGAGUCUGUCAGCUGUCACACCUAAAUGGAGAAGAUCAUUAAACAUUUCAAGUCACAUCAACAACUUUAGGAUUGACCACCCAAAUCAAGACUAGGCCUACAUGGUAUAUCAGCUGCUGGUCCCACAGUGAAGCCCUCAGUGUCUCUGCUGCCGCCCUCUUCUCUGCAGAUCUCUGGAGACUCAGCCGCACUGCUCUGCCUGCUCAGCUCUUACUCUCCACAGGGGGCGCUGGUGAGCUGGACACUGGACGGGUCAGAGGUCACCGAGGGGGUCGUGACCAGCGCAGAGAGCCAGCGGGAUGGCCGCUACAGCCGCAGUAGCGUCCUGACCCUCAGCAAAGCACGCUGGGAAAAGGGAGAGGUGUACGUCUGCAGAGUAACACAUGAUGGAGCUCCUCAUGAGGUCUCGUUCCACAAGAGCUCUGAGUGCUGAUGUUUCUCUCCUGAAGAUGAGCCGUAUCUGAGUGUCCUGUGUCAGGCAGGAUUCACAUGAGUCUAGUGCUGCAGCUGUAGUGAUUUACAACUCAAUACUGAAAGAGAGCUGGCGUGUCAAAGCACUGUGUGAUCUUUCAAUCUGCUGUAACAUUCAAUAAAGCUUCUCAACAAGUUCA
Molecule: long non-coding RNA, 714 nt
Organism: Ctenopharyngodon idella (grass carp)
Lineage: Eukaryota; Metazoa; Chordata; Actinopteri; Cypriniformes; Xenocyprididae
Exons: 3
Source: RefSeq, a predicted model, not a curated record